This 72-nucleotide transfer RNA is filed under the name Bos taurus (domestic cattle). It matches the Rfam family "tRNA". Rfam says of the family: Transfer RNA (tRNA) molecules are approximately 80 nucleotides in length. Their secondary structure includes four short double-helical elements and three loops (D, anti-codon, and T loops). RNAcentral also lists the same sequence under 4 other names. Lineage: Eukaryota; Metazoa; Chordata; Mammalia; Artiodactyla; Bovidae. The record is from Rfam by way of RNAcentral.
UCCCUGGUGGUCUAGUGGUUAAGACUUUGCCUUCCAAUGCAGAGAGGGCAGGUUCAAUCCCUGGUCAGGAAG